GGGGGUGUCAUGGUAUCGACUUGGGAAUAAAGUAACAGUGGCAUGCGGAGGACGUCGGUUGGCCUCCUUAAUCAUCCGAUAAAACAAUAAUUGCAGAAGACGAAUAUCUUCUAGCUGCUUAAGACUUAACCGUCUUAAGCUGCCGAUAACCCAGGGUCUGAUCGGGAGCCUUGGAUGUUAUCGUCAUACAUCCUGGUAUGGAUUCUACUAGUUUAAGACUCUUUGGGGUAGAAUUCGAGAUUAAAAGGGACAGAUGAGCUCUUUGUGUGGCGUCUUCCAUCCGGGCUCAUUCACCUUGAAGGCGAUAAGCAUGUAGUCAUUAUUAUAGAGUUCGCUAAGGACGAGAGUUCGAUUCUCUCCACCUCCAUUC
Molecule: transfer-messenger RNA, 370 nt
Filed under: Candidatus Rhabdochlamydiaceae
Lineage: Bacteria; Pseudomonadati; Chlamydiota; Chlamydiia; Parachlamydiales
Also listed under: 1 other name
Description: VGMB01 sp016866585 Standard tmRNA
Rfam family: transfer-messenger RNA
About the family: Bacterial tmRNA, also known as 10Sa RNA or SsrA, is named for its dual tRNA and mRNA-like properties. Its role is to liberate the mRNA from a stalled ribosome.
Source: RNAcentral